Long non-coding RNA from Aplysia californica (California sea hare), 271 nucleotides. RefSeq lists it as uncharacterized. The transcript has 9 exons. NCBI's taxonomy places the organism in Eukaryota, Metazoa, Mollusca, Gastropoda, Aplysiida, Aplysiidae. The record is from RefSeq and is a predicted model, not a curated record.
AGUGCGUGUGUGCAUAUAAGUGUGUUUGUGUUUAUGUGUGUUCUGGUACUAGUCAAACUCUUCUGUGUUAAAUCUCAAAUCUAAUUUUCUUUUCUACUUCUCAGCUCGCGUCAGCGUAACCGAUCGCGACAGCGUAACCGAUCGCGACAGCGUAACCGAUCGCGACAGCGUAACCGAUCGCGACAGCGUAACCGAUCGCGACAGCGUAACCGAUCGCGACAGCGUAACCGAUCGCGACAGCGUAACCGAUCGCGGCAGCGGAACCGGUAAG